UCAUCAUCGGCGCCAGGAACACCGAAGCUGCCAGUGAAGUAAAGCAGAGCAUUCUACAGAGCACCCCAUCUGCUAGAAUCGACAUCAUACAGAUAGAACUCAGUUCGCUCAUGUCCGUCCGAGCCUUCGCCGAGAAGUUUCUUGUCAUGGAUCUUCCUCUAAACAUCUUGAUAAACAAUGCCGGCGUCAUGUACUGUCCGUUUCAACUUUCGGAGGAUGGGAUAGAGAUGCAGUUUGCUACCAAUCAUGUCGGUGAGUAUCUUCUUCACCAUCUCAAAACGACUUCAUUUAGUAAUCGUAAACGAGCAAUUCUUUUUAA
Molecule: long non-coding RNA, 319 nt
Organism: Zingiber officinale
Lineage: Eukaryota; Viridiplantae; Streptophyta; Magnoliopsida; Zingiberales; Zingiberaceae
Exons: 2
Source: RefSeq, a predicted model, not a curated record